GACGAACGCUGGCGGCGUGCUUAACACAUGCAAGUCGAGCGGUAAGGCCCUUCGGGGUACGACGAGCGGCGAACGGGUGAGUAACACGUGGGUGACCUGCCUCUAGCUCUGGGAUAAGCCUGGGAAACUGGGUCUAAUACCGGAUAUGACUCCACGGCGCAUGUUGUGGGGUGGAAAGCCUUGUGUGGCUAGAGAUGGGCCCGCGGCCUAUCAGCUUGUUGGUGGGGUGAGGCCUACCAAGGCGACGACGGGUAGCCGGCCUGAGAGGGCGACCGGCCACACUGGGACUGAGACACGGCCCAGACUCCUACGGGAGGCAGCAGUGGGGAAUCUUGCGCAAUGGGCGAAAGCCUGACGCAGCGAC
RNAcentral lists this ribosomal RNA (364 nucleotides) under uncultured bacterium. Its description in RNAcentral is "bacterial SSU rRNA". It matches the Rfam family "Bacterial small subunit ribosomal RNA", at positions 28 to 395 of the family's 1533-position model. The record is from RNAcentral.